GAUGAACGCUGACAGAAUGCUUAACACAUGCAAGUCUUUGGCGAAUCUGUGCUUGCACAGGCUAGCCAAGGCGGACGGGUGAGUAACGCGUAAAGAACUUGCCCUGCAGACAGGGAUAACAGACGGAAACGACUGAUAACACCUGAUACAGUUGCCGGCACGCAUGUGCCCGGCAAUGAAAAGAGAUGCUGCAGGAGAGCUUUGCGUCCUAUUAGCUUGUUGGUGAGGUAACGGCUCACCAAGGCGAUGAUAGGUAGCCGGCCUGAGAGGGUGAACGGCCACAAGGGGACUGAGAUACGGCCCUUACUCCUACGGGAGGCAGCAGUGGGGAAUAUUGGACAAUGGGGGCAACCCUGAUCCAGCAAUUCUGUGUGCACGAAGAAGGUUUUCGGAUUGUAAAGUGCUUUCAGCAGGGAAGAAGAAAGUGACGGACCUGCAGAAGAGCCCG
This 448-nucleotide ribosomal RNA is filed under the name Leptotrichia sp. oral taxon 225. RNAcentral describes it as "bacterial SSU rRNA". It matches the Rfam family "Bacterial small subunit ribosomal RNA", at positions 28 to 493 of the family's 1533-position model. The record is from RNAcentral. Lineage: Bacteria; Fusobacteriati; Fusobacteriota; Fusobacteriia; Fusobacteriales; Leptotrichiaceae.